Molecule: ribosomal RNA, 2876 nt
Filed under: Alteromonas stellipolaris LMG 21856
Lineage: Bacteria; Pseudomonadati; Pseudomonadota; Gammaproteobacteria; Alteromonadales; Alteromonadaceae
Description: bacterial LSU rRNA
Rfam family: Bacterial large subunit ribosomal RNA
Source: RNAcentral
UUAAGUGACUAAGCGUAUACGGUGGAUGCCUUGGCAGUUAGAGGCGAUGAAGGACGUGUAAGUCUGCGAAAAGCUGUGGUGAGCCGACAAAAUGCAUUUGAGCCACAGAUGUCCGAAUGGGGAAACCCACCUAUUUAUAGGUAUCGUUACAUGAAUAUAUAGUGUAACGAGGCGAACGAGGGGAACUGAAACAUCUAAGUACCCUUAGGAAAAGAAAUCAACCGAGAUUCCCCUAGUAGCGGCGAGCGAACGGGGAUUAGCCCUUAAGCAAUUAUGAACGUAGUGGAAGCCUCUGGGAAGUGGCGCGAUACAAGGUGAUAGCCCUGUACACGAAGUGUUUGUUUUUGUGAAAUCGAGUAGGUCGGGACACGUGUUAUCUUGACUGAAUAUGGGGGGACCAUCCUCCAAGGCUAAAUACUCCUAACUGACCGAUAGUGAACCAGUACCGUGAGGGAAAGGCGAAAAGAACCCCUGUGAGGGGAGUGAAAUAGAACCUGAAACCGUAUACGUACAAGCAGUGGGAGCAGACUUGUUCUGUGACUGCGUACCUUUUGUAUAAUGGGUCAGCGACUUAUAUUUAGUAGCAAGGUUAAGCGAAUAGCGGAGCCGUAGCGAAAGCGAGUGUUAACUGCGCGUUUAGUUGCUAGGUAUAGACCCGAAACCCGGUGAUCUAGCCAUGGGCAGGUUGAAGGUUGAGUAACAUCAACUGGAGGACCGAACCCACUAACGUUGAAAAGUUAGGGGAUGACUUGUGGCUGGGGGGGAAAGGCCAAUCAAACCGGGAGAUAGCUGGUUCUCCCCGAAAUCUAUUUAGGUAGAGCCUCGGACGAAUUCCAUUGGGGGUAGAGCACUGUUAAGGCUAGGGGGUCAUCCCGACUUACCAACCCUUUGCAAACUCCGAAUACCAAUGAGAACUAUCCGGGAGACACACGGCGGGUGCUAACGUCCGUCGUGAAGAGGGAAACAACCCAGACCGCCAGCUAAGGUCCCAAAAUAUUGCUAAGUGGGAAACGAUGUGGGAAGGCAUAGACAGCUAGGAGGUUGGCUUAGAAGCAGCCACCCUUUAAAGAAAGCGUAAUAGCUCACUAGUCGAGUCGGCCUGCGCGGAAGAUGUAACGGGGCUAAGCAAUAUACCGAAGCUGCGGAUACGUGUUUACACGUAUGGUAGGGGAGCGUUGUGUAAGUGGAUGAAGGUGGAUUGAGAAGUCUGCUGGACAUAUCACAAGUGCGAAUGCUGACAUGAGUAACGAUAAUGGGAGUGAAAAACUCCCACGCCGGAAGACCAAGGUUUCCUGUCCCAUGCUAAUCAGGGCAGGGUAAGUCGGCCCCUAAGGCGAGGCAGAAAUGCGUAGUCGAUGGGAAACGGAUUAAUAUUUCCGUACUUAUAUAAUCAGUGAUGGAGGGACGGAGAAGGCUAAGCAAGCUUGGCGUUGGUUGUCCAAGUGAAAGCAAGUAGGCCGAGUGUUUAGGUAAAUCCGGACGCUUAAAGCUGAGAUGCGAGACGAGCUACUACGGUAGUGAAGUUGUUGAUGCCCUGCUUCCAGGAAAAGCUUCUAAACUUAUGAUUAUAUAAACCGUACCCCAAACCGACACAGGUGGUCAGGUAGAGAAUACUAAGGCGCUUGAGAGAACUCGGGUGAAGGAACUCGGCAAAAUUGUACCGUAACUUCGGGAGAAGGUACGCCCUUGUUUGUGAUAGGACUUGCUCCUUGAGCAGAUGAGGGCCGCAGUGACCAGGUGGCUGGGACUGUUUAUUAAAAACACAGCACUCUGCUAACUCGCAAGAGGACGUAUAGGGUGUGACACCUGCCCGGUGCCGGAAGGUUAAUUGAUGGGGUUAUCUUCGGAGAAGCUCUUGAUCGAAGCCCCGGUAAACGGCGGCCGUAACUAUAACGGUCCUAAGGUAGCGAAAUUCCUUGUCGGGUAAGUUCCGACCUGCACGAAUGGUGUAACCAUGGCCACGCUGUCUCCACCCGAGACUCAGUGAAAUUGAAAUCGCAGUGAAGAUGCUGUGUACCCGCACCUAGACGGAAAGACCCCGUGAACCUUUACUACAGCUUGGCACUGAACAUUGAACCUACAUGUGUAGGAUAGGUGGGAGGCUUCGAAGCACAGUCGCUAGAUUGUGUGGAGCCGUCCUUGAAAUACCACCCUUGUAUGUUUGAUGUUCUAACAUUGGUCCCUUAUCGGGAUUAUGGACAGUGUCUGGUGGGUAGUUUGACUGGGGCGGUCUCCUCCCAAAUAGUAACGGAGGAGCACGAAGGUUAGCUAAUCACGGUCGGACAUCGUGAGGUUAGUGCAAUGGCAUAAGCUAGCUUAACUGCGAGACAGACACGUCGAGCAGGUACGAAAGUAGGUCAUAGUGAUCCGGUGGUUCUGUAUGGAAGGGCCAUCGCUCAACGGAUAAAAGGUACUCCGGGGAUAACAGGCUGAUACCGCCCAAGAGUUCAUAUCGACGGCGGUGUUUGGCACCUCGAUGUCGGCUCAUCACAUCCUGGGGCUGAAGUCGGUCCCAAGGGUAUGGCUGUUCGCCAUUUAAAGUGGUACGCGAGCUGGGUUUAGAACGUCGUGAGACAGUUCGGUCCCUAUCUGGUGUGGGCGUUGGAUGAUUGAUGGGAGCUGCUCCUAGUACGAGAGGACCGGAGUGGACGAACCGCUGGUGUUCGGGUUGUCAUGCCAAUGGCAUUGCCCGGUAGCUACGUUCGGAACGGAUAACCGCUGAAAGCAUCUAAGCGGGAAGCCGGCCCAAAGAUGAGUCAUCCCUGACUUUUAAAGUCCGGAAGGGUUGUUAUAGACGAUGACGUUGAUAGGCAGGAUGUGGAAGCGUUGUAAGGCGUUAAGCUAACCUGUACUAAUUGCCCGAGAGGCUUAACCAU